AUUCUGGUUUUGAUGGAGCAUGGAGCUGUAGGCCAUCCUGGAGGUGAGGAAUGCCCGAACACCCUGGGCCAGAUCACUAUCUUGAUUGCAGAGACAUUGUUUCCUGACCANNN
Molecule: long non-coding RNA, 113 nt
Filed under: Vulpes vulpes (red fox)
Lineage: Eukaryota; Metazoa; Chordata; Mammalia; Carnivora; Canidae
Description: SMAD5 antisense RNA 1 conserved region 3 (ENSVVUG00000017354.1)
Rfam family: SMAD5 antisense RNA 1 conserved region 3
Source: RNAcentral